CAGUCGCCACGGUAAUACGAAGGGUGCAAGCGUUAAUCGGAAUUACUGGGCGUAAAGCGUGCGUAGGCGGUUUGUUAAGUCUGCUGUGAAAUCCCCGGGCUCAACCUGGGAAUGGCAGUGGAUACUGGCAAGCUAGAGUGUGUCAGAGGAUGGUGGAAUUCCCGGUGUAGCGGUGAAAUGCGUAGAGAUCGGGAGGAACAUCAGUGGCGAAGGCGGCCAUCUGGGACAACACUGACGCUGAGGCACGAAAGCGUGGGGAGCAAACAGGAUUAGAUACCCCAGUAGUCCCUGUCUCUUAUAA
This 301-nucleotide ribosomal RNA is filed under the name uncultured bacterium. RNAcentral describes it as "partial 16S ribosomal RNA". It matches the Rfam family "Bacterial small subunit ribosomal RNA", at positions 509 to 809 of the family's 1533-position model. The record is from RNAcentral.